UGGGGGAAUUUUGGACAAUGGGCGAAAGCCUGAUCCAGCAAUGCCGCGUGUGUGAAGAAGGCCUUCGGGUUGUAAAGCACUUUUGUCCGGAAAGAAAUCCUUGGCUCUAAUACAGUCGGGGGAUGACGGUACCGGAAGAAUAAGCACCGGCUAACUACGUGCCAGCAGCCGCGGUAAUACGUAGGGUGCAAGCGUUAAUCGGAAUUACUGGGCGUAAAGCGUGCGCAGGCGGUUGCUAAGACCGAUGUGAAAUCCCCGGGCUCAACCUGGGAACUGCAUUGGUGGCUGGCAGGCUAGAGUAUGGCAGAGGGGGGUAGAAUUCCACGUGUAGCAGUGAAAUGCGUAGAGAUGUGGAGGAAUACCGAUGGCGAAGGCAGCCCCUGGGCCAAUACUGACGCUCAUGCACGAAAGCGUGGGAGCAAACAGGAUUAGAUACCCUGGGUAGUCCACGCCCUAAACGAUGUCAACUAGUUGUUGGGG
This 480-nucleotide ribosomal RNA is filed under the name uncultured bacterium. RNAcentral's name for it is "partial 16S ribosomal RNA". It matches the Rfam family "Bacterial small subunit ribosomal RNA", at positions 354 to 828 of the family's 1533-position model. The record is from RNAcentral.